CAACUGCAAGUAAGUAAUACCAUUUAUUGUUUUUGUUUUGGUAUUUAAAUUACUUUAACAUACACGAGUUAGUAUUUAUUAAACUACUAUAACGUCACUGAUUUACGGAAAUAUAGCUAUAAAUGCCGCAUUCAACGGCAAAACCACCUUGCUAGAGGCUACGUUAGUUACCUCCACCGAGGCAUCUCAAGUGAUAAGCUACACUUCAUACAUCCCAUAGUGAAACAGCAAUGAUAGAAGUAAACGUUCAGAGAACAUUUGAAGUUUAACAAUAUAAAUUACUGAACAUACACUGCUUCAACAUAAUAUAGAGUUUUACAUUUACUAGAAGCUCCACUGUAUAUUCCAGCAACCUUUGUCUGUAUUUACAUAGUAUUGGAGUGUCGAAAUGACAAAAUGAAAACCUGGAAAACGAUGGAGAAGAACUGGUAAAGAAGUCGACUGAAAUAAAUGAUCAAGAAGGACUGUAAAGUUGUCAUCCUGUCCUGCAACCACCUAUGUGAAUGUGGAGACUGAUGAGCAAUGGCUAAGGGAUAGCAGCAGAAUAACACUGCAGGAGGCGGUGCCUCCUGAAGGAGCCCAAAACACUGCUCUUCAAAUGGAAGACAUCCAACCUUCAGGUGUCCAUGCAGGAUGUACCACUCUGGAACAUCAAGCCUCUCCCUACCUGCCAGCACAUGAAAAUAUUUCUACUUCUGACUAUCAAAGACAAUGGAAAACAAUUUUCCAGAUCAGCCCUCACAGAUCCUCCUGAUGGCCUAACAACUGAACUACAUGUCGAUGCUAAGUAUGAUUUAUCUCAAUCAUUUGAGGAAGCUCUCCCUGAUAUAGGGGAUUGGCUGUACAAUGACAGACAUACGUUUAAUGAAGGAUUUGAAGAUAGUUUGAGUGAGGAGUGUGCAGAAGAGUCAAAUUUCAAGGACACAACAGACAAACCAAUACAUGACAAAGCAUCAGAAACCAUGGCAGAGUGCCUUCUGAUCAUCAUGGGUUAUGUAAACUGUCAAAAAGUCACUGAUAAGGCCUUAAGCGAUAUGCUCAAAAUGUUCAAGUUGCUUUGUCCUGAUAGUCUGAACACAGACUUCUUCAACAGUGUGCAGAAGUUCAAAAACUUUUUUUUAUCCCGCUCUGCAUCAUCGCUUAUUAUAUUACAUAAAUCCUCCAGUAAUUGUUUUGGGCCAAUAGAAAGUAAACAAAUAAAAUGCCUGUUUUGUGGGACCAGUGUGUCAGAAGAAAGAUUCUCAUCCUUUUUUUUAAAGUAUGUACAGAUUGAUUUCUUCUUUACCAUAGCACAUUCAUGUGCCAAAUGGGCCAGUUUGUGUUAUCUUUUG
Long non-coding RNA from Nerophis ophidion (straightnose pipefish), 1331 nucleotides. RefSeq lists it as uncharacterized. Lineage: Eukaryota; Metazoa; Chordata; Actinopteri; Syngnathiformes; Syngnathidae. The record is from RefSeq and is a predicted model, not a curated record. The transcript has 4 exons.